This 497-nucleotide ribosomal RNA is filed under the name uncultured bacterium. RNAcentral's name for it is "partial 16S ribosomal RNA". It matches the Rfam family "Bacterial small subunit ribosomal RNA", at positions 28 to 507 of the family's 1533-position model. The record is from RNAcentral.
GAUGAACGCUGGCGGCGUGCCUAAUACAUGCAAGUCGAGCGAACAGACCAGUAGCUUGCUCCUCUGACGUUAACGGCGGACGGAAGAGUAACAUAUCCAUCCCCUACCUAUAAGACUGGGAUAACUUCCGGAAACCGGAGCUAAUACCGGAUAAUAUAUUGAACCGCAUGGUUCAAUAGUGACAGCGGUUUUUGCUGUCCCUUAUACAUGGAUCCGGGCCGCAUUAGUUAGUUGGUAGGAUAACGGCUUCCCCAGGCGACGAUGCGUAGCCGACCUGCGAGGGUGAACGGCCACUCUGGGAGUGAGACACGGUACAGACACCGACGGGAGGCAGCGGCAGGGAAGCGUGCGAAAUGGGCGAAAGACUGACGGAGCAACGCAGCGUGGAUGAUGAAGGUCCUCGGAUCGUAAAACUCUGUUAGUGUUGAAGAACAAAUGUGGAAGGAACUAUGCACGUCGUGACGGUACCUAAAGAAGAAGCAACGGCUAACUACGUG